AUGAACGCUGGCGGCGUGCUUAACACAUGCAAGUCGAACGAAGCAUUUAAGACAGAUUACUUCGGUUUGAAGUCUUUUAUGACUGAGUGGCGGACGGGUGAGUAACGCGUGGGUAACCUGCCUCAUACAGGGGGAUAGCAGCUGGAAACGGCUGGUAAUACCGCAUAAGCGCACAGUACCGCAUGGUACAGUGUGAAAAACUCCGGUGGUAUGAGAUGGACCCGCGUCUGAUUAGCUUGUUGGCGGGGUAACGGCCCACCAAGGCGACGAUCAGUAGCCGACCUGAGAGGGUGACCGGCCACAUUGGGACUGAGACACGGCCCAGACUCCUACGGGAGGCAGCAGUGGGGAAUAUUGCACAAUGGAGGAAACUCUGAUGCAGCGACGCCGCGUGAGUGAAGAAGUAGUUCGCUAUGUAAAGCUCUAUCAGCAGGGAAGAUAGUGACGGUACCUGACUAAGAAGCUCCGGCUAAAUACGUG
Molecule: ribosomal RNA, 480 nt
Filed under: uncultured bacterium
Lineage: Bacteria
Description: partial 16S ribosomal RNA
Rfam family: Bacterial small subunit ribosomal RNA
Source: RNAcentral